RNAcentral lists this transfer RNA (87 nucleotides) under Deltaproteobacteria bacterium. RNAcentral's name for it is "tRNA-Leu". It matches the Rfam family "tRNA". From Rfam's summary of the family: Transfer RNA (tRNA) molecules are approximately 80 nucleotides in length. Their secondary structure includes four short double-helical elements and three loops (D, anti-codon, and T loops). Lineage: Bacteria; Pseudomonadati; Myxococcota; Myxococcia. The record is from RNAcentral.
GCCGAAGUGGCGGAAUUGGUAGACGCGCUAGGUUCAGGGUCUAGUGGGCGCAGGCCUGUGCGGGUUCGAGUCCCGCCUUCGGCACCA